GUUAGGAAUAUUGGACAAUGGGCGAAAGCCUGAUCCAGCCAUGCCGCGUGAACGAUGAAGGCCUUCGGGUUGUAAAGUUCUUUAGCCGAUGAUUAUAAUGACUGUAGUCGGAAAAUAAGCCCCGGCUAACUUCGUGCCAGCAGCCGCGGUAAUACGAAGGGGGCGAGCGUUAUUCGGAAUCACUGGGCGUAAAGCGUGCGUAGGCGGUUUUGUAAGUUAGGAGUGAAAGCCCAGGGCUCAACCUUGGAAUUGCUCUUAAAACUGCAAGGCUCGAAUCUCGGAGAGGAUAGCGGAAUUUCCAGUGUAGCAGUGAAAUGCGUAGAUAUUGGAAGGAACACCAGUGGCGUAAGCGGCUAUCUGGACGAGUAUUGACGCUGAGGCACGAAAGCGUGGGGAUCAAACAGGAUUAGAUACUCCAGUAGUCC
RNAcentral lists this ribosomal RNA (425 nucleotides) under uncultured bacterium. RNAcentral describes it as "partial 16S ribosomal RNA". It matches the Rfam family "Bacterial small subunit ribosomal RNA", at positions 354 to 796 of the family's 1533-position model. The record is from RNAcentral.